Molecule: ribosomal RNA, 501 nt
Filed under: uncultured bacterium
Lineage: Bacteria
Description: bacterial SSU rRNA
Rfam family: Bacterial small subunit ribosomal RNA
Source: RNAcentral
AGCGAACGUUUGCGGCGGGCUUAACACAUGCAAGUCGAACGAGAAUCCCUUCGGGGAGGAAAGUGGCGCACGGGUGCGUAACACGUGGAUAACCAACCCAUUGGUUUGGGACAACACCGGGAAACUGGUGCUAAUACCAGAUGUGUCGCAGCUGUCUUCAGGCGGUUGCGAGAAAGGCCCGCAAGGGUCGCCAACGGACGGGUCCGCGUCCCAUCAGCUAGUUGGUGAGGUAAUGGCUCACCAAGGCAAAGACGGGUAGCUGGUCUGAGAGGAUGAUCAGCCACACUGGAACUGAGACACGGUCCAGACUCCUACGGGAGGCAGCAGUGGGGAAUAUUGCGCAAUGGGCGAAAGCCUGACACAGCCACGCCGCGUGAGCGAUGAAGGUCUUCGGAUCGUAAAGCUCUGUGGGGGGAGAAGAAGAAAGCCGGUGAAGAGCCGGCCCUGACGGUAUCCCCUUAGCAAGCACCGGCUAACUCCGUGCCAGCAGCCGCGGUAAAG